GAUGAACGCUGGCGGCGUGCCUAAUACAUGCAAGUCGAGCGAACGGACGAGAAGCUUGCUCUUCUGAUGUUAGCGGCGGACGGGUGAGUAACACGUGGAUAACCUACCUAUAAGACUGGGAUAACUUCGGGAAACCGGAGCUAAUACCGGAUAAUAUUUUGAACCGCAUGGUUCAAAAGUGAAAGACGGUCUUGCUGUCACUUAUAGAUGGAUCCGCGCUGCAUUAGCUAGUUGGUAAGGUAACGGCUUACCAAGGCAACGAUGCAUAGCCGACCUGAGAGGGUGAUCGGCCACACUGGAACUGAGACACGGUCCAGACUCCUACGGGAGGCAGCAGUAGGGAAUCUUCCGCAAUGGGCGAAAGCCUGACGGAGCAACGCCGCGUGAGUGAUGAAGGUCUUCGGAUCGUAAAACUCUGUUAUUAGGGAAGAACAAAUGUGUAAGUAACUGUGCACAUCUUGACGGUACCUAAUCAGAAAGCCACGGCUAACUACGUG
Molecule: ribosomal RNA, 497 nt
Filed under: uncultured bacterium
Lineage: Bacteria
Description: partial 16S ribosomal RNA
Rfam family: Bacterial small subunit ribosomal RNA
Source: RNAcentral